RNAcentral lists this long non-coding RNA (3196 nucleotides) under Pelobates cultripes (western spadefoot toad). The record is from RNAcentral. Lineage: Eukaryota; Metazoa; Chordata; Amphibia; Anura; Pelobatidae.
GGGCUUCCCAACCACUACCAUUUCUGUUCCCAUCUCUCUUCAGUGAUUAUAAAUGCUUCAUCAAUUACAUUUAUACACAUUUUAAAAUUAAUAUUCACUCAUUAGUUUAAUGACAAAAAGCCAAAUGUAAUAUUACAUUUCAACAUAAAUCCAAUGCUUUAACAAGUGGUAUGAUUCUGUAAGCAAUGCUGAUCAGUGAACUGCUUAUAUAAUAGUGGGAAGAAGUAUAAAUAUUUUACUAUUUUGUUUUCUUCUUUUAGUUUACUUCCUCCAACCCGGAGUUAAAAAUGUUACACAAACAUCAACUGCACUUGGGACAUAUCCUCUACAGGCAAACUGUUUCUGUAAGCUUACUAUUACCUUAACUUCAGCACAAGAGAUUAAGCAAGUCCUAUGAUAUCAUGACAGGUCUUGCCACCAUCUACAAUGAAACAAUGUCACUAUCUCAAUUGAUUUUAAAGGUCUGGUAAAUUGCUGUGGUGGUCAUAUAUGAUUGAAAUCCACGUUACACUUUUCAUAUGCAUCUGAACUAUUUCUGCCUAUGUUUUCAUUUUGUGUGUUAACUUUUUCUACAAUAACAACUUUAAUACAAAAUAAUAAAAUAUCGGUGUUAGUGGUUAAUCAACCUGUCUCUUAGUGUGUGUGUUUGUGCGCAUCUUCACACUGUCCUUCAAAGAUGAAAUUCAUUGUUAGAUCAAUUAAAAAGGUACUAGGUGAGGGGCGGAGCCUGACAGCCAAGCUGAGCGGUCGCACCUCAGCAGAGCUCCUGUCUACAUAACCUGAAAAACAAGCAAAACCCUGCAAAUUUCAAGCUUUUUACACUCCAGACACUGGGGCUUAACAUCGAGACAAGGCAUAACUGAGCAGGGGACCGCAAAAUGCGACCGAUUCCAGGGGAUGGACCUGAGGCCUACCUGCGGCCUACUCAGGAAGCAUGGGGGAGACGGCCGAUCCCUCAGCCGACUGUAGCCUGUAUCAAAGGAGGUCUCUCCGGAACACUCCUCUCUCCCCCCCCCCCUGCCGGUGAGGGAUAUCCCGGCAACCAAAGCAUGUGGAUCAGGACGGAGAAAUCGAGUGCAGCCACCUUGCACCACCGGACCGCUGACACAAGGCAUGGCGGAGACCACGUGGAUCCCGGCAUCCAAGCCCAGCUUGCCUCCACUGUCGGAGCGGAUAGACCGCCUAUUUAACGAUUUCUGGGCCAAACUCGCCAGCCGCGGAGACACCCGGGCACAAGUACCACCGGCAUCAGCCACAAAAGGCAUUACACAGCAGCCUGCGGCUCCGGUGCAGAACCCGAGAACGAUCGAGAUAGCAGGGGGUGAGAGGCGGAAGAAACGUCGUAAGACCCAGCGCCCGACUCUUAGGCUACCGGUGAGCUGCCCAAAGCCUCAACGGAGACGAUCUCCAGGGCUGCCCCAUCACCACCCCUCUCACCCGCGAAAAGUCCGCUCAAAGAACUGGCCUAGCACACUCAGGCAGGUUCCAUAUCAGAACAGCAGCCCCCCGGGGCUAAAGGCACACACGGGACUCCCGACCACUCACCACUCCAAGUCAUCAGGGAACAUGGAGGCAGCACGGAGCCAACUCGAUGCCCAACGAACGGGAGUGCUUGGUCCACUCACCCCCCCGAGAGGCGGCAAAACAUAUGGCCUUGACGUACCCCUAGCAGGUGUUGGCUGACCGGGACAUUUGAAAUCACAAAUGAGUCAUUCACUCUAUGCCUCAAACAGUCCCUACUUGUUAUCAAGGACGUUUUCCUUGUUCCACUGAGAAAUAUAGUCUUACACAUAUGCUCAUAAGCUAUGUCCUACAACUUACACGCUAACAUACUGCAAUUAUUAUGUACCCCUAUUGACUAACAACACUAGUAUACACAUGUGCCAAGCUUUUAACAAAGCACAACCUCUACACACAUUUUCUAGGGCUAUGUAUAAGAACAACGUUCAGCCUGCAUAACACUCCAUAGCCUCAAUAGACUUAGCAUGCUCCUACCUUCCUGUAUUAACCCAUGAAACUAGGCAAAAUUAAUAUGACACACAACUGUUUCUCUAUGUCUAUGUCUUUAAUUUGCUAUUACUACUAAGUUUACGAUAUUAUCUUGUUUAUAUAACUACUUUAAAAAAAAAAGUGCAAUGUCGUUAAUGCCAUGUGAUUAAGAAUGUAUGCAAACUCGACUGUACCAGCUAUUGUGGCAGUACAAAUUCGCUUGUUACCCUCAUGCACGAACAAAAAUAAAGAAUUAUAAAAAAAAAAAAAAAAAGGUACUAGGUAUUUUUCAUAGCAUUUCAAAAUUCCUCAUUGAAUACACUGUAACCAAAUAAGCUUCUUGUAUAGGUAAUAUAGAGCAAGGAGAUCACGGAUCCCUUUUCCUUCAUCCAAUUCAUUAAAGCUGCUGCUAUUUGCUAUACUAUUCAGCAGACCAUAAAUACCGUGUACAUGCUUUACAUAUUGUAAGGUGUUUGUACACUGAUGAAUUGCAGCUUCAAAAGGAAUGUUUUAUUUUCUUUAAAUUUUUUAUUGUAAUGCAAUAUAUGUAUGAUGCACUAAAACAGGGGUCAUCUAGCCAUUGUACAGCGCUACGGAACUUGCUGGCACUAUAUGAAUAAUAAUCUCCAGUCCGGAAUUUCAUUUACAUAUAACAGCAAUAUACUACGUAUUGGUACAAAGGAAGCAGAAAGGUCCCUGAGAAAAUGUUAACAGCCUAAAUAUACUAUAAAUAAAUACUUUCAAGAUAAAUGUGGCAAAAAAAUCAAAUCAAAAUUUAAAUCUGAGCAAUGUAAAACUGUCCAUCAAAGAAGAGCUGUAUAUAAUCGGUGUUGGCUAAACACUGGCUAUCCAACUCAAGUGGCAAAGAUGGAAUGGCUGGGCACCCAGAUCAACAGAUAUGUCACCAGUAGUAUAAACCAAUAUCGUUAAGGAGUUUAAUAGUGGUUAAUGAAUUCCAUCGCAUUUAAGACUAAGGUUUCACAUUGCAGAUUGCAUCAACAAUUUGCUUUGUUUCAGUUUAGUAUGUUGACUUAGAUAGACCAUACCACAGGUUCUAAAUAGUUUGUAUAAUCCCCCUUUCUAUGAAUAGCUCUUGCAAGCUUUUUUCCAGCACUGUAUUUGUCCCACGUAAACCAUUCACCACUUCUGAUGCCCACUGGAAAUAUUCUUGAACCCUUUGGUCAGUCCAGCCUGCAACAUAAGUAUA